UUCAACAUGAAACUUAGAGGGGACAAACAUUAAACCACAUUGGAGCAGGGAACCGAUUCUGGGAUGACUCCAGGUCUUUGUGUUAUAUCGACCUGCCAGAACAAUAAAUCUGAGAAACCCUGUGCUCCAGCAGGUGCUGGAGGGAAGGAAUGAGGUCCUGUGCGUUUUGACACAGAAGAUCAUGACGAUGCAGAAGUGUGUGAUCUCUGAGCACACGCAGGUCGAGGAGAAGUGUGGUGGCAUCGUGGGCAUCCAGACCAAGACGGUGCAGGUAUCAGUGACGGAGGAUGGGAAUGUCACCAAGGACUCCAACGUGGUGCUGGAGAUCCCAGCUGCCACCACCAUUGCCUACGGUGUCAUUGAGUUAUACGUGAAACUGGACGGCCAGUUCGAGUUCUGCCUUCUCCGAGGGAAGCAAGGUGGCUUCGAGAACAAGAAGAGAAUUGACUCUGUCUACCUGGACCCCCUGGUCUUUCGAGAGUUUGCAUUCAUAGACAUGCCAGAUGCUGCGCAUGGGAUAUCUUCCCAGGAUGGACCAUUAAGUGUUUUAAAGCAAG
This 557-nucleotide small RNA is filed under the name Pan troglodytes (chimpanzee). RNAcentral describes it as "processed transcript". Lineage: Eukaryota; Metazoa; Chordata; Mammalia; Primates; Hominidae. The record is from RNAcentral.